Molecule: ribosomal RNA, 494 nt
Filed under: uncultured bacterium
Lineage: Bacteria
Description: partial 16S ribosomal RNA
Rfam family: Bacterial small subunit ribosomal RNA
Source: RNAcentral
GACGAACGCUGGCGGCGUGCUUAACACAUGCAAGUCGAACGGUGAAGCGCCUUCCUUUUUGGUGGGUGUGGAUGAGUGGCGAACGGGUGAGUAACACGUGAGUAACCUGCCCCCUUCUUCUGGAUAACCGCAUGAAAGUGUGGCUAAUACGGGAUAUUCUGGGUCUGUCGCAUGAUGGGUCUGGGAAAGAUAUUGUUUCGGUGGGGGAUGGGCUCGCGGCCUAUCAGCUUGUUGGUGGGGUGAUGGCCUACCAAGGCGGUGACGGGUAGCCGGCCUGAGAGGGUGGACGGUCACACUGGGGCUGAGACGCGGCCCAGACUCGUACGAGAGGCAGCAGUGGGGAAUAUUGCACAAUGGGCGCGAGCCUGAUGCAGCGACGCCGCGUGAGGGAUGGAGGCCUUCGGGUUGUGAACCUCUUUCGCCAGUGAAGCAGGCCUGCCUCGUUUGUGGGUGGGUUGACGGUAGCUGGAUAAGAAGCGCCGGCUAACUACGUG